RNAcentral lists this ribosomal RNA (301 nucleotides) under uncultured bacterium. Its description in RNAcentral is "partial 16S ribosomal RNA". It matches the Rfam family "Bacterial small subunit ribosomal RNA", at positions 509 to 807 of the family's 1533-position model. The record is from RNAcentral.
CAGUAGCCACGGUAACACGGAGGAUCCAAGCGUUAUCCGGAUUUAUUGGGUUUAAAGGGUGCGUAGGUGGCCUGUUAAGUCAGGGGUGAAAGACGGUAGCUCAACUAUCGCAGUGCCCUUGAUACUGAUGGGCUUGAAUGAACUAGAGGUAGGCGGAAUGUGACAAGUAGCGGUGAAAUGCAUAGAUAUGUCACAGAACACCAAUUGCGAAGGCAGCUUACUAUGGUUUGAUUGACACUGAGGCACGAAAGCGUGGGGAUCAAACAGGAUUAGAUACCCCAGUAGUCCCUGUCUCUUAUAC